This 698-nucleotide long non-coding RNA is filed under the name Pogona vitticeps (central bearded dragon). RNAcentral's name for it is "lncRNA (ENSPVIG00000015323.1)". Lineage: Eukaryota; Metazoa; Chordata; Lepidosauria; Squamata; Agamidae. The record is from RNAcentral.
AACAGCUGACCUCUGCCUUGCCUUGAGAUUCAUAUUUAUUCCCCUAUCCUUUUCUAACUUAGCCAUUGUCUGUUCUUUGUUUACAGCACUCUGGUGUACCAGAAAAUACGAUUUAAAGAACCAUACAAUCUGGAAGCAAUUCUGUCCGGUGGUUGGAAACACGAGGAGAUCAUCAUUUCGCCCUAAAUAUUUCAUCACCGAAGAACCCUAUAAUUUUAUACAUCACUCAAGUCCUUGCAUAGGAAAUGCGUAAGCGCAGGUUGAAUAAGAAGGUCCCGAAAGAGUUUGCGAAAUCCAGAUCCACCACAAAUCAGACGGACGCCUUCCUCCUCCUCCUCUUCCUCCAGGGUCAGCAAGGAGCGGACUCCCUCACUCUUCCACCAGAGGAUCCUUUUGCUUUUGUCAGAGCAAGAACUGCCGUCCAUUAUCCACCGCGGGCCCCCCCCCACGCCACCCCCCGCACCCAAGGCAGCCGACCAACCCGCUCACCCUCGCAAGAGCCUCCACUUGGGCUACGGCGCUCGGUCCUUAUGGAAAGGUUAUUGCCGGGCUGUUAGGACGAAAUGCGGCGUUAAAAAAAAAGGAUGGAUUAUAUUUUAAGGUCUACCAGGAGGGGCCAUUGGUGGAGGAACGUCACGUGACUGAGGGGUGCCAAUGUUAUUCUUUAAGGGUGUCAAGACCCUGUCAGUUUGUGAAAU